UAAUUGCAGCCCGACUUGAGUGGAAAUCCUUUUUGCCUGCGAAAACCUUUCUUUCUAAAAAACCAAUUUCGUGGCAAAAAGAUUGGGAACGGAAGGCGGAAAUGCUG
RNAcentral lists this small RNA (107 nucleotides) under Halpernia frigidisoli. RNAcentral describes it as "Chryseobacterium frigidisoli Flavo-1 RNA". Lineage: Bacteria; Pseudomonadati; Bacteroidota; Flavobacteriia; Flavobacteriales; Weeksellaceae. The record is from RNAcentral.